Molecule: non-coding RNA, 625 nt
Organism: Phoenix dactylifera (date palm)
Lineage: Eukaryota; Viridiplantae; Streptophyta; Magnoliopsida; Arecales; Arecaceae
Source: RefSeq, a predicted model, not a curated record
UGAUAAGCUAACUUUGUAGUUGUUUCUGAUUUUUUUUUAUACUCUUUUCUAGCUUUCUGGCACAGUGUACAAGCUGGAAUACUACCAUGUCUAAUAUCAUACCUUUUUCAGCCCACAUCAGUUCAGUGAGCAAGUGUAAGAGCCACAUUUUGAGCCGGGCCGGCCGCUAACCACAGCACCGGCCCGACCCAUGUGAAGGGGAGGGAGACUCCCGAACGGGGUCUUCUCCCUCCCCUGCUUCAGUCCCUUCCCGAAUCCACCGCAAGAGGGGAAAAAAAAAAAAAGGGGAAUCAAAUCUUACGUAAAUUGAACCAAUCCUCUUCUAUAAAAGACCCCUUUUCCCUCUUCCUAGGGCAUCAAUCGAGAGCUCUUUCAAAAAAAAAAAAAGAGAGAAAGAGAGAGAGAGAGAUCCGUGAGAAGCUUGGAUUGUUCGCCGUCGGGCCGGCCGGAGGAGUUCGCCGGAGGUGAGGAAAAUAAUCUGUUGGACGAGGGGACGCUAAGCGGGAUCCUGAGCAUCCCGGUUCAUAGAUCGCCGUGAGGGCGGAUGAUUAGUUGUCUGAGUUUUCAACAAGAAGUUGCAAGAUGCAUAGAUUUGGAUGGGAUGGGCGUAGAGUGCGAGUACCAG